This 291-nucleotide unclassified non-coding RNA is filed under the name uncultured fungus. Its description in RNAcentral is "partial contains 5.8S rRNA, ITS2 and 28S rRNA". It matches the Rfam family "Eukaryotic large subunit ribosomal RNA", at positions 668 to 961 of the family's 3401-position model. Lineage: Eukaryota; Fungi. The record is from RNAcentral.
AAGGAGUCUAACAUCUAUGCGAGUGUUUGGGUGUCAAACCCGAGCGCCGAAUGAAAAUGAACGGAGGUGGGAACCCGCAAGGGUGCACCAUCGACCGAUCCUGAUGUUCUCGGAAGGAUUUGAGUAAGAGCAUAGCUGUUGGGACCCGAAAGAUGGUGAACUAUGCUUGAAUAGGGUGAAGUCAGGGGAAACUCUGGUGGAGGCUCGCAGCGGUUCUGACGUGCAAAUCGAUCGUCAAAUUUGGGUAUAGGGGCGAAAGACUAAUCGAACCAUCUAGUAGCUGGUUCCUGC